This 924-nucleotide ribosomal RNA is filed under the name uncultured Bacteroidota bacterium. RNAcentral's name for it is "bacterial SSU rRNA". It matches the Rfam family "Bacterial small subunit ribosomal RNA", at positions 1 to 917 of the family's 1533-position model. Lineage: Bacteria; Pseudomonadati; Bacteroidota. The record is from RNAcentral.
UGGAUCCAGACUUUGAUUAUGGCUCAGGAUGAACGCUAGCUACAGGCCUAACACAUGCAAGUCGAGGGGAAACGGCAGCUUAGCUUGCUAAGCUGGACGUCGACCGGCGCACGGGUGAGUAACGCGUAUCCAACCUGCCCUACGGUGAGGGAUAACCCGCGGAAACGCGGCCUAAUACCUCAUGGUCUCCGAGCUUGACAUCAACCUUGGAGUAAAGAUUCAUUGCCGUGGGAUGGGGAUGCGUCUGAUUAGCUUGUUGGCGGGGCAACGGCCCACCAAGGCAACGAUCAGUAGGGGUUCUGAGAGGAAAGCCCCCCACAUUGGAACUGAGACACGGUCCAAACUCCUACGGGAGGCAGCAGUGAGGAAUAUUGGUCAAUGGGCGAGAGCCUGAACCAGCCAAGUAGCGUGCAGGAAGACGGCCCUAUGGGUUGUAAACUGCUUUUAUGCGGGGAUAAAGCGGGCGACGUGUCGCCCUUUGCAGGUACCGCAUGAAUAAGGACCGGCUAAUUCCGUGCCAGCAGCCGCGGUAAUACGGAAGGUCCGGGCGUUGUCCGGAUUUAUUGGGUUUAAAGGGAGCCCAGGCCGGGUAUUAAGCGUGUUGUGAAAUGUAGGCGCCCAACGUCUGCACCGCAGCGCGAACUGGUGCCCUUGAGUACGCACGACGUUGGCGGAAUUCGCCGUGUAGCGGUGAAAUGCUUAGAUAUGGCGAAGAACUCCGAUUGCGAAGGCAGCUGACGGUAGCGCUACUGACGCUCAUGCUCGAGAGCGCGGGUAUCGAACAGGAUUAGAUACCCUGGUAGUCCGCGCGGUAAACGAUGGAUGCCCGCUACUUGCGCAUUAGCGCAAGUGGCCAAGUGAAAACGUUAAGCAUCCCACCUGGGGAGUACGCCGGCAACGGUGCAACUCAAAUGAAUUGACGGA